AGCUCCAAUAGCGUAUAUUAAAGUUGUUGCAGUUAAAAAGCUCGUAGUUGGAUUUCUGGCAGGAGCGACCGGUCACACACUCUGUGUGUGAACUUGCGUUGUCUCUGGCCAUCCUUGGGAAGAUCCUGUUUGGCAUUAAGUUGUCGGGCAGGGGAUACCCAUCGUUUACUGUGAAAAAAUUAGAGUGUUUAAAGCAGGCUUAUGCCGUUGAAUAUAUUAGCAUGGAAUAAUAAGAUAGGACUUCGGAACUAUUUUGUUGGUUUGCGUUACGAAGUAAUGAUUAAUAGGGACAGUUGGGGGUAUUCGUAUUUCGUUGUCAGAGGUGAAAUUCUUGGAUUUCCGAAAGACGAACUACUGCGAAAGCAUUUACCAAGGAUGUUUUCA
RNAcentral lists this ribosomal RNA (384 nucleotides) under uncultured eukaryote. RNAcentral describes it as "SSU rRNA". It matches the Rfam family "Eukaryotic small subunit ribosomal RNA", at positions 587 to 972 of the family's 1831-position model. The record is from RNAcentral.